This 451-nucleotide ribosomal RNA is filed under the name uncultured bacterium. RNAcentral describes it as "partial 16S ribosomal RNA". It matches the Rfam family "Bacterial small subunit ribosomal RNA", at positions 354 to 796 of the family's 1533-position model. The record is from RNAcentral.
GUGGGGAAUUUUGCGCAAUGGGGGAAACCCUGACGCAGCAACGCCGCGUGAGUGAUGAAGGCCUUCGGGUCGUAAAGCUCUGUCAGAGGGGAAGAAGUGUGAGGUGGCUAAUAUCCAUUUCACUUGACGGUACCUUCAAAGGAAGCACCGGCUAACUCCGUGCCAGCAGCCGCGGUAAUACGGAGGGUGCGAGCGUUGUUCGGAAUUAUUGGGCGUAAAGCGCGUGUAGGCGGUUUUUUAAGUCUGAUGUGAAAGCCCUGGGCUCAACCCGGGAGGUGCAUUGGAAACUGGGAGACUUGAAUACGGGAGAGGGCAGUGGAAUUCCUGGUGUAGGAGUGAAAUCCGUAGAUAUCAGGAGGAACACCGGUGGCGAAGGCGGCUGCCUGGACCGAUAUUGACGCUGAGACGCGAAAGCGUGGGGAGCAAACAGGAUUAGAUACCCCAGUAGUCC